CCUACGGGCGGCAGCAGUGGGGAAUAUUGGACAAUGGGGGGAACCCUGAUCCAGCCAUGCCGCGUGUGUGAAGAAGGCCCUCGGGUUGUAAAGCACUUUCAGUGAGGAAGAACGCCUGGUGGUUAAUACCCAUCAGGAAAGACAUCACUCACAGAAGAAGCACCGGCUAACUCCGUGCCAGCAGCCGCGGUAAUACGGAGGGUGCGAGCGUUAAUCGGAAUUACUGGGCGUAAAGCGCGCGUAGGUGGCUUGAUAAGCCGGUUGUGAAAGCCCCGGGCUCAACCUGGGAACGGCAUCCGGAACUGUCAAGCUAGAGUGCAGGAGAGGAAGGUAGAAUUCCCGGUGUAGCGGUGAAAUGCGUAGAGAUCGGGAGGAAUACCAGUGGCGAAGGCGGCCUUCUGGACUGACACUGACACUGAGGUGCGAAAGCGUGGGUAGCAAACAGGAUUAGAUACCCUAGUAGUC
This 465-nucleotide ribosomal RNA is filed under the name Vreelandella stevensii. RNAcentral describes it as "partial 16S ribosomal RNA". It matches the Rfam family "Bacterial small subunit ribosomal RNA", at positions 338 to 795 of the family's 1533-position model. Lineage: Bacteria; Pseudomonadati; Pseudomonadota; Gammaproteobacteria; Oceanospirillales; Halomonadaceae. The record is from RNAcentral.